GCCUGGCUUCGGCAGCACAGAUACUAAAGUUGGAAUAAUACAUAGUAGAUUAACAUGUCCCCUGCACAGGGAUGACAUGCAAAUUCGUGAAGCUCUACACUUCUGU
Small nuclear RNA from Suncus etruscus (white-toothed pygmy shrew), 106 nucleotides. The record is from RefSeq and is a predicted model, not a curated record. NCBI's taxonomy places the organism in Eukaryota, Metazoa, Chordata, Mammalia, Eulipotyphla, Soricidae.